Molecule: ribosomal RNA, 465 nt
Filed under: Vreelandella stevensii
Lineage: Bacteria; Pseudomonadati; Pseudomonadota; Gammaproteobacteria; Oceanospirillales; Halomonadaceae
Description: partial 16S ribosomal RNA
Rfam family: Bacterial small subunit ribosomal RNA
Source: RNAcentral
CCUACGGGUGGCAGCAGUGGGGAAUAUUGGACAAUGGGCGAAAGCCUGAUCCAGCCAUGCCGCGUGUGUGAAGAAGGCCUUCGGGUUGUAAAGCACUUUCAGUGGGGAAGAAAGCCUUGGGGCUAAUACCCUCGAGGAAGGACAUCACCUACAGAAGAAGCACCGGCUAACUCCGUGCCAGCAGCCGCGGUAAUACGGAGGGUGCGAGCGUUAAUCGGAAUUACUGGGCGUAAAGCGCGCGUAGGCGGUCUGAUAAGCCGGUUGUGAAAGCCCCGGGCUCAACCUGGGAACGGCAUCCGGAACUGUCAGGCUAGAGUGCAGGAGAGGAAGGUAGAAUUCCCGGUGUAGCGGUGAAAUGCGUAGAGAUCGGGAGGAAUACCAGUGGCGAAGGCGGCCUUCUGGACUGACACUGACGCUGAGGUGCGAAAGCGUGGGUAGCGAACAGGAUUAGAUACCCGGGUAGUC